RNAcentral lists this ribosomal RNA (253 nucleotides) under uncultured bacterium. RNAcentral's name for it is "partial 16S ribosomal RNA". It matches the Rfam family "Bacterial small subunit ribosomal RNA", at positions 524 to 776 of the family's 1533-position model. The record is from RNAcentral.
GACGAACUGUCCUAACGUUGUUCGGAAUCACUGGGCUUAAAGGGCGCGUAGGCGGUCGACCAAGUCAGGGGUGAAAUCCUGCAGCUUAACUGUAGAAGUACCUUUGAUACUGGUCGUCUCGAGGGAGGUAGGGGUGUGUGGAACUUCCAGUGGAGCGGUGAAAUGCGUUGAUAUCGUUAGGAACUCCGGUGGCGAAGGCGGCACGCUGGACCCUCACUGACGCUGAGGCGCGAAAGCCAGGGGAGCGAACGGG